GCCGGGCAUGGUGGCACGUGCCUGUAGUCCCAGCUACUCGGGAGGCUGAGGCAGGAGAAUUGCUUGAACCCAGGAGGCAGGGGUUGCAGUGAGCCAAGGUCACGCCACUGCACUCCAGCCUGGGCAACACAGCGAGACUCUGUCUCAA
Molecule: non-coding RNA, 148 nt
Filed under: Nomascus leucogenys (northern white-cheeked gibbon)
Lineage: Eukaryota; Metazoa; Chordata; Mammalia; Primates; Hylobatidae
Source: Rfam by way of RNAcentral